CCUACGGGUGGCAGCAGUGAGGAAUAUUGGUCAAUGGGCGGAAGCCUGAACCAGCCAAGUAGCGUGCAGGAUGACGGCCCUACGGGUUGUAAACUGCUUUUAUACGGGAAUAACGCGCCUUACGUGUAGGGUUUUGCAUGUACCGUAUGAAUAAGGACCGGCUAAUUCCGUGCCAGCAGCCGCGGUAAUACGGAAGGUCCGGGCGUUAUCCGGAUUUAUUGGGUUUAAAGGGAGCGUAGGCCGCAUGUCAAGCGUGCUGUGAAAUGUCCGGGCUCAACCCGGGCCUUGCAGCGCGUACUGGCGUGCUUGAGUCCGCGGAAAGCAGGCAGAAUUCGUCGUGUAGCGGUGAAAUGCUUAGAUAUGACGAAGAACCCCGAUUGCGAAGGCAGCUUGCUGCAGAGGAACUGACGCUGAUGCUCGAAAGCGCGGGUAUCGAACAGGAUUAGAUACCCCUGUAGUC
This 460-nucleotide ribosomal RNA is filed under the name uncultured bacterium. RNAcentral's name for it is "partial 16S ribosomal RNA". It matches the Rfam family "Bacterial small subunit ribosomal RNA", at positions 338 to 795 of the family's 1533-position model. The record is from RNAcentral.